AAUAUUAUAGUUUAAUUAAAAUUUUAAAUUGCAAAUUUAAAGAUAGAGUUUUCUUAAUAUUU
RNAcentral lists this transfer RNA (62 nucleotides) under Necterosoma penicillatum. Its description in RNAcentral is "tRNA-Cys". Lineage: Eukaryota; Metazoa; Arthropoda; Insecta; Coleoptera; Dytiscidae. The record is from RNAcentral.